CCGGCGCACGGGUGCGUAACGCGUAUGCAACCUACCUUAUACAGGAGGAUAGCCCAUGGAAACGUGGAUUAAUACUCCAUAGUAUUAUUGUAACGCCUGUUAUAAUAAUUAAAAUUUCGGUGGUAUAAGAUGGGCAUGCGUAUGAUUAGCUAGUUGGUGAGGUAACGGCUCACCAAGGCGACGAUCAUUAGGGGUUCUGAGAGGAUUAUCCCCCACACUGGUACUGAGACACGGACCAG
This 239-nucleotide ribosomal RNA is filed under the name uncultured bacterium. RNAcentral describes it as "partial 16S ribosomal RNA". It matches the Rfam family "Bacterial small subunit ribosomal RNA", at positions 95 to 334 of the family's 1533-position model. The record is from RNAcentral.